RNAcentral lists this ribosomal RNA (460 nucleotides) under uncultured bacterium. Its description in RNAcentral is "partial 16S ribosomal RNA". It matches the Rfam family "Bacterial small subunit ribosomal RNA", at positions 338 to 795 of the family's 1533-position model. The record is from RNAcentral.
CCUACGGGAGGCAGCAGUGAGGAAUAUUGGUCAAUGGGCGCGAGCCUGAACCAGCCACGCAGCGUGAAGGAUGACUGCCCUACGGGUUGUAAACUUCUUUUUUAAGGGAAUAAAGUGAGGCACGUGUGCCUUUUUGUAUGUACUUUACGAAUAAGGAUCGGCUAACUCCGUGCCAGCAGCCGCGGUAAUACGGAGGAUCCGAGCGUUAUCCGGAUUUAUUGGGUUUAAAGGGAGCGUAGACGGGUUGGUAAGUAAGUUGUGAAAGUUUGGGGCUCAACCGUAAAAUUGCAAUUGAUACUGGCAGACUUGAGUACAGUUGAGGUAGGCGGAAUUCGUGGUGUAGCGGUGAAAUGCUUAGAUAUCACGAAGAACACCGAUUGCGAAGGCAGCUUACUAAACUGCUACUGACGUUGAGGCACGAAAGCGUGGGUAGCAAACAGGAUUAGAUACCCGAGUAGUC